This 433-nucleotide ribosomal RNA is filed under the name uncultured bacterium. RNAcentral describes it as "partial 16S ribosomal RNA". It matches the Rfam family "Bacterial small subunit ribosomal RNA", at positions 29 to 507 of the family's 1533-position model. The record is from RNAcentral.
AACGAACGCUGGCGGCAUGCCUAACACAUGCAAGUCGAACGAAACCUUCGGGUCUAGUGGCGCACGGGUGAGUAACGCGUGGGAACCUGCCCUUAGGUUCGGAAUAACUCCCCGAAAGGGGUGCUAAUACCGGAUAAUGUCUUCGGACCAAAGAUUUAUCGCCUUUGGAUGGGCCCGCGUUGGAUUAGCUAGUUGGUAGGGUAAAAGCCUACCAAGGCGACGAUCCAUAGCUGGUCUGAGAGGAUGAUCAGCCACACUGGGACUGAGACACGGCCCAGACUCCUACGGGAGGCAGCAGUGGGGAAUAUUGGACAAUGGGCGAAAGCCUGAUCCAGCAAUGCCGCGUGAGUGAUGAAGGCCUUAGGGUUGUAAAGCUCUUUUACCCGGGAUGAUAAUGACAGUACCGGGAGAAUAAGCUCCGGCUAACUCCGUG